RNAcentral lists this ribosomal RNA (2263 nucleotides) under Bacillus sp. AW. Its description in RNAcentral is "bacterial LSU rRNA". It matches the Rfam family "Bacterial large subunit ribosomal RNA", at positions 661 to 2925 of the family's 2925-position model. Lineage: Bacteria; Bacillati; Bacillota; Bacilli; Caryophanales; Bacillaceae. The record is from RNAcentral.
CGGAGCCGCAGCGAAAGCGAGUCUGAAUAGGGCGUUUAGUACGUGGUCGUAGACCCGAAACCAGGUGAUCUACCCAUGUCCAGGGUGAAGUUCAGGUAACACUGAAUGGAGGCCCGAACCCACGCACGUUGAAAAGUGCGGGGAUGAGGUGUGGGUAGCGGAGAAAUUCCAAUCGAACCUGGAGAUAGCUGGUUCUCCCCGAAAUAGCUUUAGGGCUAGCCUUAAGUGUAAGAGUCUUGGAGGUAGAGCACUGAUUGAACUAGGGGUCCUCAUCGGAUUACCGAAUUCAGUCAAACUCCGAAUGCCAAUGACUUAUCCUUAGGAGUCAGACUGCGAGUGAUAAGAUCCGUAGUCAAGAGGGAAACAGCCCAGAUCGCCAGCUAAGGUCCCAAAGUGUGUAUUAAGUGGAAAAGGAUGUGGAGUUGCUUAGACAACUAGGAUGUUGGCUUAGAAGCAGCCACCAUUUAAAGAGUGCGUAAUAGCUCACUAGUCGAGUGACUCUGCGCCGAAAAUGUACCGGGGCUAAAUACACCACCGAAGCUGCGAAUUGAUACCAAUGGUAUCAGUGGUAGGGGAGCGUUCUAAGUGCAGUGAAGUCAGACCGGAAGGACUGGUGGAGCGCUUAGAAGUGAGAAUGCCGGUAUGAGUAGCGAAAGACGGGUGAGAAUCCCGUCCACCGAAUGCCUAAGGUUUCCUGAGGAAGGCUCGUCCGCUCAGGGUUAGUCAGGACCUAAGCCGAGGCCGACAGGCGUAGGCGAUGGACAACAGGUUGAUAUUCCUGUACCACCUCUUUAUCGUUUGAGCAAUGGAGGGACGCAGAAGGAUAGAAGAAGCGUGCGAUUGGUUGUGCACGUCCAAGCAGUUAGGCUGAUAAGUAGGCAAAUCCGCUUAUCGUGAAGGCUGAGCUGUGAUGGGGAAGCUCCUUAUGGAGCGAAGUCUUUGAUUCCCCGCUGCCAAGAAAAGCUUCUAGCGAGAUAAAAGGUGCCUGUACCGCAAACCGACACAGGUAGGCGAGGAGAGAAUCCUAAGGUGUGCGAGAGAACUCUGGUUAAGGAACUCGGCAAAAUGACCCCGUAACUUCGGGAGAAGGGGUGCUUUCUUAACGGAAAGCCGCAGUGAAUAGGCCCAAGCGACUGUUUAGCAAAAACACAGGUCUCUGCGAAGCCGUAAGGCGAAGUAUAGGGGCUGACACCUGCCCGGUGCUGGAAGGUUAAGGAGAGGGGUUAGCGUAAGCGAAGCUCUGAACUGAAGCCCCAGUAAACGGCGGCCGUAACUAUAACGGUCCUAAGGUAGCGAAAUUCCUUGUCGGGUAAGUUCCGACCCGCACGAAAGGUGUAACGAUUUGGGCACUGUCUCAACCAGAGACUCGGUGAAAUUAUAGUACCUGUGAAGAUGCAGGUUACCCGCGACAGGACGGAAAGACCCCGUGGAGCUUUACUGUAGCCUGAUAUUGAAUUUUGGUACAGUUUGUACAGGAUAGGCGGGAGCCAUUGAAACCGGAGCGCUAGCUUCGGUGGAGGCGCUGGUGGGAUACCGCCCUGACUGUAUUGAAAUUCUAACCUACGGGUCUUAUCGACCCGGGAGACAGUGUCAGGUGGGCAGUUUGACUGGGGCGGUCGCCUCCUAAAGUGUAACGGAGGCGCCCAAAGGUUCCCUCAGAAUGGUUGGAAAUCAUUCGUAGAGUGCAAAGGCAUAAGGGAGCUUGACUGCGAGACCUACAAGUCGAGCAGGGACGAAAGUCGGGCUUAGUGAUCCGGUGGUUCCGCAUGGAAGGGCCAUCGCUCAACGGAUAAAAGCUACCCCGGGGAUAACAGGCUUAUCUCCCCCAAGAGUCCACAUCGACGGGGAGGUUUGGCACCUCGAUGUCGGCUCAUCGCAUCCUGGGGCUGUAGUCGGUCCCAAGGGUUGGGCUGUUCGCCCAUUAAAGCGGUACGCGAGCUGGGUUCAGAACGUCGUGAGACAGUUCGGUCCCUAUCCGUCGUGGGCGUAGGAAAUUUGAGAGGAGCUGUCCUUAGUACGAGAGGACCGGGAUGGACGCACCGCUGGUGUACCAGUUGUUCUGCCAAGGGCAUAGCUGGGUAGCUAUGUGCGGAAGGGAUAAGUGCUGAAAGCAUCUAAGCAUGAAGCCCCCCUCAAGAUGAGAUUUCCCAUAGCGUAAGCUAGUAAGAUCCCUGAAAGAUGAUCAGGUUGAUAGGUUCGAGGUGGAAGCAUGGUGACAUGUGGAGCUGACGAAUACUAAUAGAUCGAGGACUUAACCAUAUAA